Long non-coding RNA from Cyprinus carpio carpio, 2261 nucleotides. The record is from Ensembl. NCBI's taxonomy places the organism in Eukaryota, Metazoa, Chordata, Actinopteri, Cypriniformes, Cyprinidae.
CAGUCUCCAGUAUGAGCAUGCUUUAAUUUUCCUUACUUUUGUCUUAACAUCAGCUGAAUGGAGUGUUCAUUUUGGUCAUUCAUUUUUGUUUUAUUAUUAUUAUUUUUAUUUAACUAAUAUUAAUUUAUUAAUAGCCUUCUCUGACCUUUUAUAAGAAUCUUUUCUACAUUCAACAUGGCACAGAGACAGAAGAGAGAUGGAACAUUUUCAUAUGCAGCAAAACAAUCCACAGACUCCAUUACAAGGUUUAGAUUCAUUGUGUUUGGAAGUGAUGAGGUUCUGAUAAAUGAAGCUUGUGACACUAUUGUUAGAUCAGCAGAUAGAAUGGAUAGCACUAAAUAUGGGACAUGUGAGUUUAGAGAGGCGUGUGUAAGCGGACGACAUGUCUCUGUAGUAAAAACUCCUGCUUAUGGGCUGGAACACUUGAAAACUUACCUGACCUUCAGAAACAGAGUCAGAUCUAUGAAAAUAGACAUGGAGUUUUGUUACUCACUGGUCUUUCCUGGGCCUCAUGCUUUUUUUUAGUGCUUGGAGAUGUGCGUAACUCUGGUAAAGAGCAUUACAUUUUACGAGCUCUCAGUGAAGUGUUUGGCCAGGAGGCAUUAGACUACAGUAUGGUCUUAUUUAUGCAUGAAUACAAGGACAGUGAUAUAGGCAGCAACCGAUGUGUGAAAAAGUGCAGGAAAAGGUUCCACAUUUUAAAGAACAAUGAGGAAAAUGUUCUAAAACUAUUCCAUGAUGCUACUGAGACAAUGAUAAAGCAGAGAAAGGGGAGCUUCUUUACGAAGGACUUUGACUUGCUAGACAAAGCUGAAGCUUAUUUUAAGACAGAGUUUGAUGCUAAAUAUGAGGAGCGAGAGAGUAUACUGAGAGGAAAUUUGGCAGAAAUGAAAACAACAGAGGAAAAUCUAAGAACAAAAGUUACAGAAAUGGAAAGAAAGAAUUCUGAAAACAUGAGAGAAUUACAAGAUCUGCAUAAAGAACUGGAUGCUCAUAAAGCCAGAAUAAAUCAGUUAAACAAGGAAUUAGAUGAUUCCCAAAGCAGAGAGAAUCAUUUAAGUCAACAGAUGGAUGCUCUCAAAAAGAAAAAAAUAUGAACUGAAGGAUGAGCUGUAUGCCCUCAGGUAUUACAAGAGACAGUUAGAUGUAGAACUGACUGCUUUCAACGAGAGAGAGAGAGAAAAAAUUCCUGCCCACAAAAAUACAGUUAGAGCAUAACAGAUUACAGGAGCAAAGAGAAGCAGGCCUACAGGCUCCUGCGCAAGAAGAGCAUGACAGACAAAAAACUUUAGAUAAAAGAGAGGUGGAGCUAGAUGAGAGAGAGAAAAAACUGCUGCAGACCACUGGAUCACAGCAUGUUGAUCACAUCUCUACAGCUGUUACUCCCUCUUGUGUCAUAGUGUCUGAAGACAAACCCAAAUCUCAAGAAGACACUGGAUCACCUGAGUCUGAAGGAUUGAAACUUGUGAGACAAGACAGCAAGAAAUUAGCUCCACCUAAUAUGUCUGAAAACAAAGUCGAACCUCAGAGUGAAAGAGAAUGUGAGAUGGAAAGUAGAAUAACAGAUUCACAAACCAGCAGAUCGCUUAAAGGUGAAGUACUGAAACCUGUGAGACGGACAGCAUUCGAGAUCGACCCAGCAUUUUCUGGAGUGAAGAGUGCCAGUAUCCCUCAGAACUGAGUUAGCAUGUAAUGGGAAAUGCUUCAUGUACUCCCACAUGAUAGCAGUGCAUGUAUUUCAUGAGCUGUAAUACAUAUAUUUGUACAUCGCAUAUUUGUACUUUAGUAACUAUAUUAGUAAGCAAAAGCUAAUGUCUGUAACUGGUUUUGAUAUGGUUUUUGAUGUUUUCUCUGAAUAUUUUAUGUGUAUAAGUUCUGUUAAAUCUGGCAUUAACAGGUAUGUUGAUCACAGUUACAAUGAGCAUCUUUUUUUCAUGAAAAAUGUGGUUUAGAGGAGAUUGAACACAAAAUGAAAUUUUAAAAUCCUUGGUGAUUAAUCAUAUCAUCUGAUCACAUGCCUGUGUAACGGUUUUCAUUAUUGUGAAAUAGGAAACCUUGUCUAAAGUACUCCCUUGAAGGUUUUAAACUUUGAACUAAACUGAGCAAUAAUGUAAUCUUUUCUAUAAAGCCUGUAAAGUUUUGUAGGAUUGUACUAUUAACAUGCUAUAGGUAAAUAAAUAAUGGCAUAGGCUUAUUAUUUAACACUAAUAAAUUUUUUUGUUUCAAUCUAUUGUAAACUUAUCUUGCUAUUUUUAGUGCAG